AUGAGGUUGCAUAGCAAAACCACGCUGUCCUCGAACAGCCAUUCAGCGCCGCUCCUGACUUGGUCAGCCGCGCCACUGGACUCGAGGAAAGCUUUGUCAUUGCUCCUGAGCCCCGUGGAACCACAGCCUCUCCGACACCACUUGACUUCACUCACGCCCGCCUGGCCCACUAGGCACCCCUCUAAAAGCCUCGUCCCGUUCGCCUUUCCCGUCACCCGCACACUCCCUGACACUCUCCAUGCCUUUCUGAAAGAAAAGAAAACAACAGCGUGGCUCCGUGUCCAAGCAACCCAAGUCUCCCCACAGGGGGGCCGAAGCGGGGGCCAGCCCUCCCUCCCCGGAGUUCAAGUUCAAUACCUGGCCCAGACGGGCGGGGGCCGCCUUGCCUCUUACUUAUCGCUCUCCAGCUUGGCAUCCUGGAGGCCAGGGGACACGCCAGUUAGAAGACCGCAGAGAGAGAGAGAGAAACAUCACAAACACCACUUCGCUGACCUAUGGGUGAGUCGCUCCAGUCUUUUUCGGGGCUACGAUUAGAAUCCUGAACCAAAAGACUGUGACCUCCAGGCAACGCUCCAAAGGCACUGUGGGAAGGGCAAACUGCCCAGGAGGAAUCCACCUGGGGCUUGCAGUAUCAAGCCAUCCAAGCCGGCUUGGAAGGAGAGCCCAGUCCUGGAAGGGAGAGAGGGGAAAGGGUCCCAAGGUUUGGGAUGCUGGAAAUUAAUAAGGAAAGCCCAGAUCUCCCACUUCCUGGUUCCACUCAUCUGUUCCAGAGACACGAAGACUAGGGCACUUUGAGAACUGACGAUUGUACGAGCACUGUCUCUAUAACACCCAGAAGUGAAAUGACUCUCUUUGUGGUUCCUGGAUCUCUGCCUAUCUGGACGGAAAUUAAGGAUCCCAGCAGCAGAUUAGGACUCCAAAAUCUUCACCAACCCAGAGCACCAGCACCCCUGCACUACUCCCUCUCCUUGCUGAACACAACUUUUUGGGGAUUCCGCUGAUUCGUUUAGAAGUCUUUUCCUUUACCUUUCCUUAAAGGGUUCAGUAACCCUUUUACUUGUAAGAUGCCUUAGCUGUUCUGGGGUGGGGAUGAGGAGUAAGUUUUCUGGAAACAAAACAUCAAAAGCUAAAAUUGCAUGUUGGGUUUCAACAAAAAAUUAGGUCAUUUCCCCCAUUGUACCAGGUGAUUUAACCUUAAGGCCAAAACAUUCCAGAGGAGGUAGCUAUGAGUCAGAAUCCUAGACUCAUCAUAUCCCUAAGUGACAAAGAGUAUUUCCAAUUUGUUUCCACUCUUCUAUUAUGGCCAAAGGGCAGCUUGGUGGUGAAGUGGAUGGAGAUCUGGGAAGAUCUGACAAAUGAGGCCUCAGAUACUAGCUAAGUGAUCAUGGGCAAGUCACUUAACUGUUUACCUCAGUUUCCUCAUCUGUAAAAUGAGCUGGAGAAGGAAGUGGCAAACUAACCCAGUAUACUUGCCAGGAAAACCACAAAUGGGGCCAGGAACAGUAGGACAAAGCAAUUAUUGACAACUAGUCUCAUUGUUCAGGAAGGAGCUUUCUACUCACAUGGAGAGUUACCUAACUGAAUUGUUUUUCUCUCUCUCCUGGAGAAGCUGGGAUUUGGAAAUUGAGGGGACUUGAGAGAGUUUAAAAGUUUGUAUGUAGGGACUUGUGGACGCUGACUUUUGGUGUAGAUUCCUGGCAGUUGUUUAAGACCAAAGCUGUGGAGUUGGUAGCCUGGUAGGAGCUGGAUUCUGGAACUCUGGUGAGUUAGCCACUGGUCUGAUAAUUGGAACUAAGGAAAUUAGGAAUCAUUUUUGUCAUCUAUUGGAUUUUGGUGGGGUUGGGUAGAAGUAUAACAAUGCAGAUGUUGGAAUCUGAAGUUGUAGAAGUUUGGAGAUAGGAGGAUUUGUGCAUUGCCCAUGAUCAGUGGAAUUGGUAUAAUGGGAACUGUAGCAUGGCUACACAGUGGUGGGUUGGCCCUGGAAUAAAGGUGGGCUAAUAAGAGCCA
Monodelphis domestica (gray short-tailed opossum) is the source of this 2007-nucleotide long non-coding RNA. The record is from Ensembl. Lineage: Eukaryota; Metazoa; Chordata; Mammalia; Didelphimorphia; Didelphidae.